This 831-nucleotide ribosomal RNA is filed under the name Nipponoluciola owadai. RNAcentral's name for it is "Luciola owadai partial 16S rRNA". The record is from RNAcentral. Lineage: Eukaryota; Metazoa; Arthropoda; Insecta; Coleoptera; Lampyridae.
UAAUUCUCUUGUUAUUUAUUUAUUAGUUAAUUUUUAACUAAUAAAUUUUAUUAAGAAAUAUUUAAAGGGAUGAGCUUUUAUUUAUAUCACUAAAAAUUAUUUAGAUUUUAUAUUUUGUAUAAUUUAGAUUGUUAAUCAUAUAAAUAAUAUAAUAGUUAAUUUUAUUAUUUUUAAGAUUUAUAUUUAUUUUAGUUUUUAUAUUAAAAAUUUUUGUUUAAUUUUUUUUCUUUAUUUAUAAUGAUUAAAUUAGUAGAUAAAUAUGUAUUUAAUUAUUUUUUAUUUAGGUAAUAAAAAGGAACUCGGCAAAUAUUAUUUUCUGCCUGUUUAUUAAAAACAUGUCUUUUUGAUUAUAAUUUAAGGUUUGAUCUGCUCAAUGAUGUAUUUAAAUUGCCGCAGUAUUUUGACUGUGCAAAGGUAGCAUAAUAAUUAGCUUUUUUAUUGGAAGCUGGAAUGAAUGAUUGGACAAGAAAAUUUCUGUCUCUUUAUUAUUUUUAUUUAAUUUUACUUUUAAGUUAAAAGGCUUAAAUUUAUUUAAAAGACGAGAAGACCCUAUAGAGUUUAAUUUUUAAUAAUUUGGAAUUUUUUUUGGAAUUUAAAAAAUUUUAUUUUUUUAAUAAUUUGGUUGGGGUGACUGAAAGAUAAAAUAAACUCUUUUAAUUAUAAUCAAUUAUAUUUGAAUUUAAAAUCUAUUUUUAUAAGUUUAAAAUAAAUUACCUUAGGGAUAACAGCGUAAUUUUUUUUUAGAGUUCAUAUUAAAAGAAAAGUUUGCGACCUCGAUGUUGGAUUAAAAUUUAUUUUGGGUGUAGAAGCUUGAAUAUUAAGUCUGUUCGA